AGAGUUUGAUCCUGGCUCAGAACGAACGCUGGCGGCGUGGAUAAGACAUGCAAGUCGAACGCUAAUUUCAGGGUAGCAAUAUUCUGAAGUUGGAGUGGCGUAAGGGUGCGUAACACGUGGGUAAUUUGCCAUGAAGUUGGGGAUAACUCGCUGAAAGGCGAGCUAAUACCGAAUGUGACUGCUUGGGGGCCUCCCUGAGCGGUUAAAGUUGGGGACCGUAAGGCCUGACGCUUCUUGAUAAGCCCGCGGCCUAUCAGCUAGUUGGUGAGGUAACGGCCCACCAAGGCUAAGACGGGUAGCUGGUCUGAGAGGACGACCAGCCACACUGGAACUGAGACACGGUCCAGACACCUACGGGUGGCAGCAGUCGAGAAUUUUUCUCAAUGGGCGAAAGCUUGAAGGAGCGACGCCGCGUGGGGGAUGAAGGGCUUCGGCCUGUAAACCCCUGUCAUUUGCGAACAAACCUUUUCAUUGAACAGAUGAAAAGCUGAUCGUAGCAAAAGAGGAAGGGACGGCUAACUCUGUGCCAGCAGCCGCGGUAAUACAGAGGUCCCAAGCGUUGUUCGGAUUUACUGGGCGUAAAGGGUGCGUAGGCGGUCGGGUAAGUCUGAUGUGAAAUCUCCGAGCUUAACUCGGAAACGGCAUUAGAAACUGCCCGGCUGGAGGGUCGGAUGGGAGACUGGAAUUCUCGGUGUAGCGGUGAAAUGCGUAGAGAUCGAGAGGAACACCGGUGGCGAAAGCGAGUCUCUGGACGACUCCUGACACUGAGGCACGAAAGCUAGGGGAGCAAACAGGAUUAGAUACCCUGGUAGUCCUAGCCGUAAACGGUGCACAUUUGCCGUGAGAGGAAUCGACCCCUUUCGUGGCGCAGCUAACGCGUUAAAUGUGCCGCCUGGGAAGUACGGUCGCAAGAUUAAAACUCAAAGGAAUUGACGG
RNAcentral lists this ribosomal RNA (936 nucleotides) under uncultured bacterium. Its description in RNAcentral is "bacterial SSU rRNA". It matches the Rfam family "Bacterial small subunit ribosomal RNA", at positions 8 to 916 of the family's 1533-position model. The record is from RNAcentral.